Molecule: ribosomal RNA, 546 nt
Filed under: Fusarium sp. MJ16
Lineage: Eukaryota; Fungi; Ascomycota; Sordariomycetes; Hypocreales; Nectriaceae
Description: eukaryotic LSU rRNA
Rfam family: 5.8S ribosomal RNA (bases 177-330)
Source: RNAcentral
CUAAAAUGCAGACGCGGAGGGACAUUACCGAGUUUACAACUCCCAAACCCCUGUGAACAUACCUAUACGUUGCCUCGGCGGAUCAGCCCGCGCCCCGUAAAACGGGACGGCCCGCCCGAGGACCCCUAAACUCUGUUUUUAGUGGAACUUCUGAGUAAAACAAACAAAUAAAUCAAAACUUUCAACAACGGAUCUCUUGGUUCUGGCAUCGAUGAAGAACGCAGCAAAAUGCGAUAAGUAAUGUGAAUUGCAGAAUUCAGUGAAUCAUCGAAUCUUUGAACGCACAUUGCGCCCGCCAGUAUUCUGGCGGGCAUGCCUGUUCGAGCGUCAUUUCAACCCUCAAGCUCAGCUUGGUGUUGGGACUCGCGGUAACCCGCGUUCCCCAAAUCGAUUGGCGGUCACGUCGAGCUUCCAUAGCGUAGUAAUCAUACACCUCGUUACUGGUAAUCGUCGCGGCCACGCCGUAAAACCCCAACUUCUGAAUGUUGACCUCGGAUCAGGUAGGAAUACCCGCUGAACUUAAGCAUAUCAAAAAGCCGGGAGAAA